Molecule: long non-coding RNA, 433 nt
Filed under: Homo sapiens (human)
Lineage: Eukaryota; Metazoa; Chordata; Mammalia; Primates; Hominidae
Description: non-protein coding lnc-TBXAS1-5:2
Source: RNAcentral
AGCUCUUGAGCUCGGGCGUUCGGCCCGGAGCGCGGGCUGUGGCUGUGGCGGCUCGCGGGGGUCAGUACCUAGUCCCUGAAAAUGGCUUCCCUGGAUGUUUGAGGGACCAGGAGCCCCUAAUGCCGCGAUGCUCAGCGCGCCUUCAGUCAGAGGGAGCCUCGAGGGCGGCGGCAGCGCUGGCGGAGCCGGCUGGACGCCGCCGGUUAAAGCCGCUCAGCGUCGCCCAGGCCAAGCCCGGGCUUCGUAGACGGCUCACAGAAACAGGGACAACUGACGGGAGCUCUCACCCCUCGAACAAGUGACAAAAGCGAUCACUCCGCAUAGAAGACGCACUUAAUUAAAGGUUCCUUUCGCCUCGGUGCAUCAAUGAGUUCCUUCAUUUAAACAUAAAAGGGAAGAUCACCAGCCGAAGGUGGGGCUACAGUAAGGGGUA